CAGCAGCCGCGGUAAUACGAAGGGGGCUAGCGUUGUUCGGAUUUACUGGGCGUAUAGAGUUCGUAGGCGGUUUGUCGCGUCGUUUGUGAAAACCAGCAGCUCAACUGCUGGCUUGCAGGCGAUACGGGCAGACUUGAGUACCGCAGGGGAGACUGGAAUUCCUGGUGUAGCGGUGAAAUGCGCAGAUAUCAGGAGGAACACCGGUGGCGAAGGCGGGUCUCUGGGCAGUAACUGACGCUGAGGAACGAAAGCGUGGGUAGCGAACAGGAUUAGAUACCCUGGUAGUCCACGCCGUAAACGGUGGGCGCUAGGUGUGGGUUCCUUCCACGGAAUCCGUGCCGUAGCUAACGCAUUAAGCGCCCCGCCUGGGGAGU
RNAcentral lists this ribosomal RNA (374 nucleotides) under uncultured bacterium. RNAcentral's name for it is "bacterial SSU rRNA". It matches the Rfam family "Bacterial small subunit ribosomal RNA", at positions 509 to 881 of the family's 1533-position model. The record is from RNAcentral.